Molecule: transfer RNA, 60 nt
Filed under: Hemitheconyx taylori
Lineage: Eukaryota; Metazoa; Chordata; Lepidosauria; Squamata; Eublepharidae
Description: tRNA-Ser
Source: RNAcentral
AAGAGGUCUUGCCCGGGACUGCUACUCCCGACUACCGAAAUUAACACUUCGGGCCUCUUA